GGAGGCGAAUGUGUCCUGGUGGGUGCCCUGGACUUCAAAUCCAGUGGGGGGCGGUAUAGGCUGUCUCCGGUGGGUUCGAUUCCCACACGCCUCCGCCA
This 98-nucleotide transfer RNA is filed under the name Aminivibrio sp. RNAcentral describes it as "tRNA-Sec". It matches the Rfam family "Selenocysteine transfer RNA". The record is from RNAcentral. Lineage: Bacteria; Thermotogati; Synergistota; Synergistia; Synergistales; Aminobacteriaceae.